Molecule: ribosomal RNA, 1425 nt
Filed under: Weissella cibaria
Lineage: Bacteria; Bacillati; Bacillota; Bacilli; Lactobacillales; Lactobacillaceae
Description: bacterial SSU rRNA
Rfam family: Bacterial small subunit ribosomal RNA
Source: RNAcentral
CGUCGAGGGAAAUGGAAAGCCUGGCGAACGGGUGAAUAACGCGUGGGAAAGAAACAUCUCCGCAGGGGAUAACAUUUUAAACAGAUGAUAAUACCGUAUAACUAUAGCAACUGCAUGGUUGUUACGUAAAAGAUGCCUCUUCUAUCACUAAGAGAUGGUCCCGCGGUGCAUUAGUUAGUUGGUGAGGUAAUGGCUCACCAAGACGAUGAUGCAUAGCCGAGUUGAGAGACUGAUCGGCCACAAUGGGACUGAGACACGGCCCAUACUCCUACGGGAGGCAGCAGUAGGGAAUCUUCCACAAUGGGCGAAAGCCUGAUGGAGCAACGCCGCGUGUGUGAUGAAGGGUUUCGGCUCGUAAAACACUGUUGUAAGAGAAGAAUGACAUUGAGAGUAACUGUUCAAUGUGUGACGGUAUCUUACCAGAAAGGAACGGCUAAAUACGUGCCAGCAGCCGCGGUAAUACGUAUGUUCCAAGCGUUAUCCGGAUUUAUUGGGCGUAAAGCGAGCGCAGACGGUUAUUUAAGUCUGAAGUGAAAGCCCUCAGCUCAACUGAGGAAUUGCUUUGGAAACUGGAUGACUUGAGUGCAGUAGAGGAAAGUGGAACUCCAUGUGUAGCGGUGAAAUGCGUAGAUAUAUGGAAGAACACCAGUGGCGAAGGCGGCUUUCUGGACUGUAACUGACGUUGAGGCUCGAAAGUGUGGGUAGCAAACAGGAUUAGAUACCCUGGUAGUCCACACCGUAAACGAUGAGUGCUAGGUGUUUGAGGGUUUCCGCCCUUAAGUGCCGCAGCUAACGCAUUAAGCACUCCGCCUGGGGAGUACGACCGCAAGGUUGAAACUCAAAGGAAUUGACGGGGACCCGCACAAGCGGUGGAGCAUGUGGUUUAAUUCGAAGCAACGCGAAGAACCUUACCAGGUCUUGACAUCCCUUGACAACUCCAGAGAUGGAGCGUUCCCUUCGGGGACAAGGUGACAGGUGGUGCAUGGUUGUCGUCAGCUCGUGUCGUGAGAUGUUGGGUUAAGUCCCGCAACGAGCGCAACCCUUAUUACUAGUUGCCAGCAUUUAGUUGGGCACUCUAGUGAGACUGCCGGUGACAAACCGGAGGAAGGUGGGGAUGACGUCAAAUCAUCAUGCCCCUUAUGACCUGGGCUACACACGUGCUACAAUGGCGUAUACCACGAGUUGCCAACCCGCGAGGGUGAGCUAAUCUCUUAAAGUACGUCUCAGUUCGGAUUGCAGGCUGCAGCUCGCCUACAUGAAGGCCAAAAACGCUAGUAGUCCCGGAGCAACAGGCGACGCUGAAUAUUUCCCAGAACUUGAACUUUGCGGCCGUCACCCCCAGACAGAUUGUAUAAGGCGAUACCUGCGGCAUUAUCUUGGCGAAACACUCACUACCGUGCCACUCAUCGAUUACGGUGUGGACUA